GCUGGGCGAGGUAGUGCACACCUGUAGUCCCAGCUACUGGGGAUGCUGAAAUAGGAGGAUCUCUUGAGUCACUGAGUUCUGUUUCCAGAACUCAGUGCACUGUGCAGAUCAGGUGUCUGCAUUAAGUUCAGCAUCAAUAUGACGACCUCCCAGGAGCUGGGACCACCAGGGUGCCCAGGUUGGAAAUGGAGCAUGUCAAAACUCAAGUGCUGAUCAGUAAUGGGAUCUUGCCUAUGAAUAUCCACUGCACUCUAUACUGGACAACAUAGCAAGGACACAAACUCA
Molecule: signal recognition particle RNA, 285 nt
Filed under: Peromyscus maniculatus bairdii (prairie deer mouse)
Lineage: Eukaryota; Metazoa; Chordata; Mammalia; Rodentia; Cricetidae
Description: Metazoan signal recognition particle RNA (ENSPEMG00000001984.2)
Rfam family: Metazoan signal recognition particle RNA
About the family: The signal recognition particle (SRP) is a universally conserved ribonucleoprotein. It is involved in the co-translational targeting of proteins to membranes.
Source: RNAcentral